RNAcentral lists this ribosomal RNA (301 nucleotides) under uncultured bacterium. RNAcentral's name for it is "partial 16S ribosomal RNA". It matches the Rfam family "Bacterial small subunit ribosomal RNA", at positions 509 to 807 of the family's 1533-position model. The record is from RNAcentral.
CAGCCGCCGCGGGAAAACGAAGGGGGCUAGCGUUGCUCGGAAUGACUGGGCGUAAAGGGCGCGUAGGCGGAUGGCACAGUCAGAUGUGAAAUUCCCGGGCUUAACCUGGGGGCUGCAUUUGAUACGUGUUGUCUAGAGUGAGGAAGAGGGUCGUGGAAUUCCCAGUGUAGAGGUGAAAUUCGUAGAUAUUGGGAAGAACACCGGUGGCGAAGGCGGCGACCUGGUCCUUUACUGACGCUGAGGCGCGAAAGCGUGAGGAGCAAACAGGAUUAGAUACCCCGGUAGUCCCUGUCUCUUAUAC